GUGGUUUUCCAAAAUUAAUUGUGCAAUAGAUAAUACUAAAUGACGUGGUUUUCAAAAAUUAAUUGUGCAACAGAUAAUACUAAAUGACGUGGUUUUCCAAAAUUUCUCGAGCUAUAUAGACAAUGCAAAAGUGCAGAUGGAGUAUGUUCAACUAUAGUAAAAGCCACACAUUUACAAAGAAAAAUAAUGUAAAUGACAUGGUUUUCCAAAAUUAAUUGUGCAACAGAUAAUACUAAUGACAUGGUUUUCCAAAAUUACUUGUGCAGCAGAUAAUGCUAAUGGCGUGGUUUUCCAGAAUUUAUCGUGCUAUAUAGACAAUGCAAAAGUGCAGCCGGAGUACGUUCAACUAUAGUAAAAGCCACACAUUGACAGAGAAUAAUAAUGUUUCCAAAUAUUAGAAUUAAAAUAUCGAAAAUCGCAAAAAUAAUUUUACAGACCUGUGUACAACUGUAAAAUGUCAACUUUUGAACCCCAUUAUAAGAUAUAGUGGGAAGGGUAUAUGAAAUUUUGAACCAAGAUACUUUCUUAUAUUGUUUUCUACAUUCGGAAAACUUAACGAUAAUCGGCUCAUUUUAUAUGAAUUUCCUGAAGGUUUUCACCACUAAUUAGGUAAUGGAGCCUAGAAAACUAAGAAAGCAUAAACCUAAUACUUUUGCAACAAGGUGGUAUUUCGUUACAUGAAUAACAAAACAAAAAAUCCAUCAAUGUAUAAGCGAUAUAAUUUUACAAUCGGAAACAGGUGUGGAGUAAAGGUGUAAAAUUAAUGAUUACUUUUGAACCUGCAGCAUCAGCGAGUCCCUGUUUGCUUUAUAGAGCUGUAACUCACAAUAGGAUAAUUUGAUCUAUAUGAUAAUCACUAAUGUUAUGUAACUAACAAACAAAUUGACGAUAAUCGGCUCAAUUUAUAUGAAUUUCCUGAAGGUUUUCACCACUAAUUAGGUAACGGAGCCAACUGCAGGACAGAAAACUAAGAAAGCAUAAACCUAAACACAGGGUUUAUAAAACAUUUCAAGCAUCAUAAAACCAAUAACUGCAUAAAAUUCUUUAUUAAAAUAUGAAUUAUAAAGCUAAGGCAAAUUCCUAUAUACUGCUUCCACAUGUAAAAGGUAGACACACCUUUGGAAAUAUGCACAUGCCACAUUUGUCAGAUUUGAAAAUAGGAAUUAAAAUUCUUAGAACUUCGCUUAAAAUACUAAAAACAUAUAGCAUCAUCUCAGUUACUUUUUCACGUGUCUAACUAUCUUUUAAAUCACCAAGGAGCUGGUUGUAUUACUCUUUUGACAAUGCUUCACCAAGAUCAUCAUCACACUUCUCUUUACUUCUUAGUCCAGUAAUCGAACCAUCAUAGUAGUCGAUUUCAAAAGACUAACUAGCAGACUUCUAUUUCGAGUUUCCACGCAAUCCACGAUCAUAUUUAGUUGCAAAGAUCUUAGCCAGCUUCUGAGUUAACUCUCCAAUCACUAAAUGAGCAUACUUUCCACACAACUCUCUCCUGUACCACAUCAUGAACUGUUUUUCGAACGAACCUGAUUCAGUUUUCAAAGUAUGAUUCUCAAGUUUCACAAGAAAUUCCUCUAAGAGCACAACUGCCUCUCUGUGCCUAUCUAGGCGAAAUAGAGCCUUUAUUAACAGAUAAUAUGUAGCCGAGUUAGGUGCUGGCCAGUUGUGCCAACCACUUCUGUUGUUCAUCAAUUUAAGAACGCAACUGGCUUCAUCCGAAAAUCCAUUGCUACAUAAACUGGC
RNAcentral lists this long non-coding RNA (1743 nucleotides) under Medicago truncatula (barrel medic). RNAcentral's name for it is "long non-coding RNA (MTRU_LNC000828)". The record is from RNAcentral. Lineage: Eukaryota; Viridiplantae; Streptophyta; Magnoliopsida; Fabales; Fabaceae.